ACGGAAGGCAGCAGUGGGGAAUAUUGGGCAAUGGGCGAAAGCCUGACCCAGCGACGCCGCGUGAGGGAAGAAGGUCUUCGGAUUGUAAACCUCUUUCAGCAAGGAAGAAGAAAGUGACGGUACUUGCAGAAGAAGCCACGGCUAACUACGUGCCAGCAGCCGCGGUAAUACGUAGGUGGCGAGCGUUAUCCGGAAUUACUGGGUGUAAAGGGUGUGUAGGCGGGAAAGCGAGUCAGAUGUGAAAAUUAUGGGCUCAACUCAUAACCUGCAUUUGAAACUGUUUUUCUUGAGAGUGGGAGAGGUAAACGGAAUUCCUGGUGUAGUAGUGAAAUGCGUAGAUAUCAGGAGGAACACCGGUGGCGAAGGCGGUUUACUGGACCACAACUGACGCUGAGACACGAAAGCGUGGGGAGCAAACAGGAUUAGAUACCCUGGUA
This 437-nucleotide ribosomal RNA is filed under the name uncultured Oscillospiraceae bacterium. RNAcentral's name for it is "bacterial SSU rRNA". It matches the Rfam family "Bacterial small subunit ribosomal RNA", at positions 341 to 792 of the family's 1533-position model. Lineage: Bacteria; Bacillati; Bacillota; Clostridia; Eubacteriales; Oscillospiraceae. The record is from RNAcentral.